AUUGAACGCUGGCGGAAUGCUUUACACAUGCAAGUCGAACGGUAGAGGGGGCAACCCCUUGAGAGUGGCGAACGGGUGAGUAAUAUAUCGGAACGUGCCCAGUCGUGGGGAUAACGUAGCGAAAGUUACGCUAAUACCGCAUACGAUCUAAGGAUGAAAGCGGGGGAUCGCAAGACCUCGCGCGAUUGGAGCGGCCGAUAUCAGAUUAGGUAGUUGGUGAGGUAAAGGCUCACCAAGCCAACGAUCUGUAGCUGGUCUGAGAGGACGACCAGCCACACUGGAACUGAGACACGGUCCAGACUCCUACGGGAGGCAGCAGUGGGGAAUUUUGGACAAUGGACGCAAGUCUGAUCCAGCCAUUCCGCGUGCAGGAUGAAGGCCCUCGGGUUGUAAACUGCUUUUGUACGGAACGAAAGGUUUCUAUUAAUACUAGGAGCUCAUGACGGUACCGUAAGAAUAAGCACCGGNUAACUACGUGCCAGCAGCCGC
This 489-nucleotide ribosomal RNA is filed under the name uncultured bacterium. RNAcentral describes it as "bacterial SSU rRNA". It matches the Rfam family "Bacterial small subunit ribosomal RNA", at positions 30 to 518 of the family's 1533-position model. The record is from RNAcentral.